This 70-nucleotide transfer RNA is filed under the name Dipodomys ordii (Ord's kangaroo rat). It matches the Rfam family "tRNA". Rfam says of the family: Transfer RNA (tRNA) molecules are approximately 80 nucleotides in length. Their secondary structure includes four short double-helical elements and three loops (D, anti-codon, and T loops). Lineage: Eukaryota; Metazoa; Chordata; Mammalia; Rodentia; Heteromyidae. The record is from Rfam by way of RNAcentral.
GGGAAUGUGGCUUAGUGGUAGAGUGCUUGCCUAGCAUGCAUGAAGCCCCAGGUUCAGUUCCUCAGUACCA